UCAUAAUAAAAACAUUCAACAAAAAAACCCCAAACAAAAAACCCCAAAUUUAUUUCUCCUUCUUAUUUGAGAAGUUAAACAAGAGCUUGCAGCAAACCGCUCUAAACUCAAAAUGGGUAUAAUCUCGUCUCUAGACACAUGAAAAAGAAAACAUAAAAUAAAAAAAUAAAAAAAGUCAGAUAAAUAAAGAAAAAUAAUUACAGAUGAAAAAUAAUAGAUCAAUUAUAGAUAGAACAAAAUCUAAUCACGAAAUUAUUAAAAUUAAUAUUAUUAUUAUCAUUUUGAAAAAUAUAAGAAUGAUAAAUGGAAAAAUAUUUCCCUUCUCUUUUUUUUUUUUUUUUUUCUNN
RNAcentral lists this long non-coding RNA (347 nucleotides) under Jatropha curcas. RNAcentral describes it as "long non-coding RNA (JCUR_LNC003154)". The record is from RNAcentral. Lineage: Eukaryota; Viridiplantae; Streptophyta; Magnoliopsida; Malpighiales; Euphorbiaceae.